This is a long non-coding RNA of Mesocricetus auratus (golden hamster), 2919 nucleotides long. RefSeq lists it as uncharacterized. The transcript has 6 exons. The record is from RefSeq and is a predicted model, not a curated record. NCBI's taxonomy places the organism in Eukaryota, Metazoa, Chordata, Mammalia, Rodentia, Cricetidae.
UUGUCCAGAGGGACUCCUCUUCACUGCCACUGGGAGAGUCCCAGGAAGAGCCAGCCGGUCCCCAGCUCGAAUCAGCCUCGUGCGUUUGAAAACUUCCAAGGCAAGAAAACUUUGUGGUCGCGGGGCGGCUGCGCCUUGCCGCAGGCUUGAAAGGCCCUACGCGGUCCCCGGCGACCACCUCGCGCAGCCUAGCGUCGCCCGCAGGAACGGUGGGAGCCGGGCGCCGUGCUAAUGGGGCCGGCGGCGGAGCCGGGGACGCCAUGAAAGCCGCGCUCGCAAACACGGGCUCUUGUUGGGGAAGAAGGGCCACGCCUGGCUUUCCGCAGCCGCUUUGAGAGCAGCAGCGCUGGGAUUUCAUGGCACGGCUUCGGCGAGAAAAUCAAUCAGCGGGGCCGCCGUUUGGAGAGGCAGCAAGAAAGGCCACUAACGAGGCCAGAUUGUAACAGUUCUGCGAGCAGCCACAGUGCUCACCUUACACGGCGGACGCGCGCUGCUGGUCAAUGGUUUGGAGACAACGUCUGUGUCUCCCCUUCCAGGAGUUCUGGCUCUGGUCAGUGUGGGAGAGAGCUGGCUUGGGAACACAGAGCCACAUCUCAGAGUCUACACAGAUAGUGGCAAAAGAUCGCUCGCAUCAUCAUUUGCAAGUUAUCUAAAAUGUCAAAGGUGUCCUUUUGAAGUUUAUUACAGAUCACAUGCCAUAAGGCCCGGACGCUAGGGGUUUGAUAUUGCAGAGACGUUUCCCUGAAGAGAAAUGAGCAAAUAUGCCGGCAUAUGUACCCAUCCUGCAAUGGCACUGUAGCCCAGGUUAUGGCCUCUUACCCGUCUUUCACCCAGAUCUUGCCAACCUGCAGGAGACUCCUUAGAACCAGAGAAGAAGGCGAAUGUGGUGCCGUCCACGCUAAGAUGGCGGGAAGCCCAGGGAGAGGAAAUUGAUCAACUAUGCUGUUUUUGAAGGAAAUAAGCUACCAGUUUACCGAAGGAUUAGAGUGAUACUCCAUGUGUGGGUAAGAUGAUGAGCUAUGGGGUAUGCAUGAGUGUGGUGCGGACCCAUGGAGGUGUUUUCACUCAAGGAGCAAGGCUGUGGUGCUGUUGUUCACAGGGACGGGAUCCGGGGCGGGAAUGUGCUUCCUGUGAUGUGACUCUGUGUGUUGAUGAAUGGACUGAAGUGAUGCGGCUGUGUGUGGACAAGCUGCAGACUGUCAGGACUGCAAGUUUGUAGUCUGCACUUCUGUGUUAAGGUCUGCAUGGACCACUGCCCUCCUUUAGUCAAAGUUCCACUCUCCACAAAGUUUUGGUGACCUUGAAGUUAACUGGAGUUCAAAAACAUUAGGUUGGAAUGUUCCAGAAAUAAAUAACUCAUGAGUUAAUUUGAUUUUUAACAUCGUAGCACUACUGUUAAUGUGAUUACUAAUUGUUGCGUGUGUGCAUGUAUCUAACAUGUGUGAUACGGGCACAAGUGCCACAGUGCACCUGUGAGAUUAAGAGGAGAGCUUGCUGGAGUCAGGGUCGUCCUUCCACUGUGAAUUCCUUGGGCCGAGUUCAGUCAUCAGGCUUAUGCAGUAAGGGCCUUGACCCUCUAAGCCCGGCCCACAGUUCAUAAGUCUUAAAUAACUUUUAUUAUAGCUACUGCCACAUUUUCCUGUUGUCAUUUUCUCAUGACAAAUUAUACUUUUUAGCAGACUUGGGCGUACAGGAAAACAUGUGUGGUUCUGGGGUCUCUAUUCAUAGCUUCAGGCACCCACUAGGAGUCUUGAAAAUGGCGCAUGGCUGUGUGCACAUGGCUCUGCCUGUACGUGACACAUGUAUGUGAGAGUACCGUGAGAAUGAUCUUGGCGUGUUUACCCCAGCUAGAGACUCUAACUGGUGGAUAACUGUUAUUGUCCAAUCUGACAAAAUAGAGCCAGCAAACUUGUACCCAUUUUAUGCCUCUUGAUUUAUUCCCCAUGGCUUGGACUGAGUUCUUGAAGAGCAAAACCAAGGCAGGAGUGGCCAAGCGUGUCAUUUGUGAGGGAAGGAUGGUCUUCCCAGAACUUCAGCACCAGAUUCCUGCCUAGUCCCUGAUGCUCCAUCCUGCUCAAGAAUAUGUGUCUCAUCAUUCCCAGCAUGGAGGUCCUCCUGGCUGCUGUCAAUGGCAGCAUUCAGGCACACACAGGCUCCUGUCCUCAGCCACAGGAUUCCCAAUCCAGAAGGGAGGUGAAUAGCUAGCUGAGAGCAUAUUUAUAUACCCACCUCCCUGUCCCCAAAGUUGGCAGAGAAAAAUUGGCUUGUGGGCGAGCCCUGAGAUUCACACCACAGAGCCCAGGCUUGUCUGGGAUGCAGGCGGGCCUCCAGGAUGGGUCCAUCCCAGGAAGGAACUGGGCAUGGGGCAGCUUGGGUUGUACCCUCAGCCCCUCCCUGUGCCAUGGUCUAGUGGUUGCAGUGGCAUUUCUGGUGCUCCCUCAUGAAACCUGAGUGCUGGACCCUGAAUUAUGGCAGUGCUUAGGCUGAUCCACUUGUUGACUUGGAGGAAUGUGGAAUGGGGCGAUUCUGACCGCCACUGCCAACAGCAGCUCUGAGAAUCCAGUGUUUGUCAAUGGAAUUAGAGGUGGUUGCCAUGUGAACACAUUGAAAUGAGUAGGGUAUGGUUUUGUAAAAUAAACUCCUCUUGGUUUGGUUUAAGCUGUCUCGUAGUGGUCUGAGACACUGAGGCCUGACACGUUUACACACACACACACACACACACACACUCACUCUUAGGUCACGCACAUCUGAAAAGAAGCCUCUGUUCCAGACAUUAAUGGCUCUGACCUGGAGCUGAGGAUGAAUCACAGAUGGUAGAACACUAGAACACUUGCCUAGGAUUCGUGAAGCCCCAGGAUUGAUCCCCAGCACCACAUACAACUGGGCAUGGUAGCGCAUGCCUGUAACUAUGUAGUACAA